CCUACGGGCGGCAGCAGUAGGGAAUAUUGCUCAAUGGGGGAAACCCUGAAGCAGCAACGCCGCGUGGAGGGAGGAAGGUACAGAGUAUCGUAAACCUCUUUUGUCAGGGAACAAAGACUGGGACGCGUCCCCGGAUGAGUGUACCUGAAGAAAAAGCAUCGGCUAACUCCGUGCCAGCAGCCGCGGUAAUACGGAGGAUGCGAGCGUUAUCCGGAUUUAUUGGGUUUAAAGGGUGCGCAGGCGGUCUGUUAAGUCAGCGGUCAACGCCCGGGGCUCAACCCCGGCCCGCCGUUGAAACUGGCAGUCUCGAGUUGGAGAGAAGUAUGCGGAAUGCGCGGUGUAGCGGUGAAAUGCAUAGAUAUCGCGCAGAACUCCGAUUGCGAAGGCAGCAUGCCGGCUCCACACUGACGCUGAGGCACGAAAGCGUGGGUAUCGAACAGGAUUAGAUACCCUAGUAGUC
This 460-nucleotide ribosomal RNA is filed under the name uncultured bacterium. RNAcentral's name for it is "partial 16S ribosomal RNA". It matches the Rfam family "Bacterial small subunit ribosomal RNA", at positions 338 to 795 of the family's 1533-position model. The record is from RNAcentral.